GACGGAGGAUGCAAGCGUUAUCCGGAAUGAUUGGGCGGAAAGCGUCCGCAGGUGGCAGUUCAAGUCUGCUGUCAAAGACCGGGGCUUAACUUCGGAAAGGCAGUGGAAACUGGACAGCUAGAGUAUGGUAGGGGCAGAGGGAAUUCCUGGUGUAGCGGUGAAAUGCGUAGAGAUCAGGAAGAACAUCGGUGGCGAAGGCGCUCUGCUGGACCAUAACUGACACUCAGGGACGAAAGCUAGGGGAGCGAAUGGG
RNAcentral lists this ribosomal RNA (253 nucleotides) under uncultured bacterium. RNAcentral describes it as "partial 16S ribosomal RNA". It matches the Rfam family "Bacterial small subunit ribosomal RNA", at positions 524 to 776 of the family's 1533-position model. The record is from RNAcentral.